GAGGAUACGGUUAACGGAGCGAAAGCGACGUUCAACCUCAAAAGAAGCAGAGGGGGCUUAGUGGUGGGGUGACUGCGUACCUUUUGUAUAAUGGGUCAGCGACUUAUAUUCUGUAGCAAGGUUAACCGAAUAGGGGAGCCGGAGGGAAACCGAGUCUUAACCGGGCGUUAAGUUGCAGGGUAUAGACCCGAAACCCGGUGAUCUAGCCAUGGGCAGGUUGAAGGUUGGGUAACACUAACUGGAGGACCGAACCGACUAAUGUUGAAAAAUUAGCGGAUGACCUGUGGCUGGGGGUGAAAGGCCAAUCAAACCGGGAGAUAGCUGGUUCUCCCCGAAAGCUAUUUAGGUAGCGCCUCGUGAACUCAUCUCCGGGGGUAGAGCACUGUUUCGGCUAGGGGGCCAUCCCGGCUUACCAACCCGAUGCAAACUGCGAAUACCGGAGAAUGUUAUCACGGGAGACACACGGCGGGUGCUAACGUCCGUCGUGAAGAGGGAAACAACCCAGACCGCCAGCUAAGGUCCCAAAGUCAUGGUUAAGUGGGAAACGAUGUGGGAAGGCCCAGACAGCCAGGAUGUUGGCUUAGAAGCAGCCAUCAUUUAAAGAAAGCGUAAUAGCUCACUGGUCGAGUCGGCCUGCGCGGAAGAUGUAACGGGGCUAAACCAUGCACCGAAGCUGCGGCAGCGAACGUAUCACCCAAGACAACUUUACGGAGUUGACGAUUGACGGAGCGAAGCGACGUCAAAGCGUUCAUUAAAGUCGAGUUGGCUUAGGGAUACGUUCGUUGGGUAGGGGAGCGUUCUGUAAGCCUGUGAAGGUGGCCUGUGAGGGUUGCUGGAGGUAUCAGAAGUGCGAAUGCUGACAUAAGUAACGAUAAUGCGGGUGAAAAACCCGCACGCCGGAAGACCAAGGGUUCCUGUCCAACGUUAAUCGGGGCAGGGUGAGUCGACCCCUAAGGCGAGGCCGAAAGGCGUAGUCGAUGGGAAACAGGUUAAUAUUCCUGUACUUGGUGUUACUGCGAAGGGGGGACGGAGAAGGCUAUGUUAGCCGGGCGACGGUUGUCCCGGUUUAAGCAUGUAGGCGGAGGUUCCAGGUAAAUCCGGUACCUUAUUAACGCUGAGGUGUGAUGACGAGGCACUACGGUGCUGAAGUAACAAAUGCCCUGCUUCCAGGAAAAGCCUCUAAGCAUCAGGUAACAUCAAAUCGUACCCCAAACCGACACAGGUGGUCAGGUAGAGAAUACCAAGGCGCUUGAGAGAACUCGGGUGAAGGAACUAGGCAAAAUGGUGCCGUAACUUCGGGAGAAGGCACGCUGACA
This 1316-nucleotide ribosomal RNA is filed under the name Salmonella enterica subsp. enterica serovar Livingstone. RNAcentral's name for it is "partial 23S ribosomal RNA". It matches the Rfam family "Bacterial large subunit ribosomal RNA", at positions 568 to 1756 of the family's 2925-position model. Lineage: Bacteria; Pseudomonadati; Pseudomonadota; Gammaproteobacteria; Enterobacterales; Enterobacteriaceae. The record is from RNAcentral.